UUAAAUUGAGAGUUUGAUCCUGGCUCAGGAUGAACGCUGGUGGCGUGCCUAAUACAUGCAAGUCGUACGCUAGCCGCUGAAUUGAUCCUUCGGGUGAAGUGAGGCAAUGACUAGAGUGGCGAACUGGUGAGUAACACGUAAGAAACCUGCCCUUUAGUGGGGGAUAACAUUUGGAAACAGAUGCUAAUACCGCGUAACAACAAAUCACACAUGUGAUCUGUUUGAAAGGUCCUUUUGGAUCGCUAGAGGAUGGUCUUGCGGCGUAUUAGCUUGUUGGUAGGGUAGAAGCCUACCAAGGCAAUGAUGCGUAGCCGAGUUGAGAGACUGGCCGGCCACAUUGGGACUGAGACACUGCCCAAACUCCUACGGGAGGCUGCAGUAGGGAAUUUUCCGCAAUGCACGAAA
This 405-nucleotide ribosomal RNA is filed under the name Oenococcus oeni. RNAcentral describes it as "bacterial SSU rRNA". It matches the Rfam family "Bacterial small subunit ribosomal RNA", at positions 1 to 380 of the family's 1533-position model. Lineage: Bacteria; Bacillati; Bacillota; Bacilli; Lactobacillales; Lactobacillaceae. The record is from RNAcentral.